Molecule: non-coding RNA, 184 nt
Filed under: Salinimonas marina
Lineage: Bacteria; Pseudomonadati; Pseudomonadota; Gammaproteobacteria; Alteromonadales; Alteromonadaceae
Description: 6S / SsrS RNA
Rfam family: 6S / SsrS RNA
About the family: E. coli 6S RNA was the first non coding RNA to be sequenced, but its function was unknown until recently. It consists of 184 nucleotides that fold into an extended hairpin structure with a large single-stranded internal bulge.
Source: Rfam by way of RNAcentral
UGUCUCCUGGGAUGUGCGCCAGUCCAUUCAUGUCCCUGGCCGAUGCUUUUUUAAAAGGAAGUUGAACUUAUAACUACUGUGCAAGCUCGGCUCGUAUCGAGAAGCCUACGGUUAUGAUGAUUCUUCCGCCGUGAACCUUUCGGCUCACGGGCGAACGAUUGGGCAGCGGCAUUCUGGGAGACGC